Molecule: ribosomal RNA, 253 nt
Filed under: uncultured prokaryote
Description: partial 16S ribosomal RNA
Rfam family: Bacterial small subunit ribosomal RNA
Source: RNAcentral
UACGAAGGGGGCUAGCGUUGCUCGGAAUUACUGGGCGUAAAGCGCACGUAGGCGGAUUGUUAAGUCGGGGGUGAAAUCCUGGAGCUCAACUCCAGAACUGCCUUCGAAACUGGCGAUCUUGAGUCCGGGAGAGGUGAGUGGAACUGCGAGUGUAGAGGUGAAAUUCGUAGAUAUCGGAAGGAACACCAGUGGCGAAAGCGGCUUCCUGGUCCAGCACCGACGUUCAGGCACGAAAGCGUGGGGAGCAAACAGG